This 447-nucleotide ribosomal RNA is filed under the name uncultured bacterium. RNAcentral describes it as "partial 16S ribosomal RNA". It matches the Rfam family "Bacterial small subunit ribosomal RNA", at positions 29 to 523 of the family's 1533-position model. The record is from RNAcentral.
AACGAACGCUGGCGGCGUGCUUAACACAUGCAAGUCGAACGCACCGCAAGGUGAGUGGCGCACGGGUGAGUAACGCGUGGGAAACUGCCUCUUGGUUCGGAAUCACACCGGGAAACUGGUUCUAAUACCGGAUACGCCCUUAGGGGGAAAGAUUUAUUGCCGAGAGAUGUGCCCGUGUUGGAUUAGCUAGUUGGUGAGGUAACGGCUCACCAAGGCGACGAUCCAUAGCCGGUCUGACAGGAUGAUCAGCCACACGGGGACUGAGACACGGCCCUGACUCCUACGGGAGGCAGCAGUGGGGAAUAUUGGACAAUGGGGGAAACCCUGAUCCAGCAACGCCGCGUGAGUGAUGAAGGUCUUCGGAUUGUAAAGCUCUUUUGGCAGGGACGAUGAUGACGGUACCUGCAGAAUAAGCUCCGGCUAACUGCGUGCCAGCAGCCGCGGUAA